UAGAAGACAAGCGAGGACGAUGAUCGGUACCGUGAAACAUAACGAGACGUUCACGAUCUUGCUUCGCGGGAAGACCAGAGUGCAGAUCGACAACUCAUCCGUGAUAUCCUAUUAAUUAAUCAAAUGUUAAUUGGUACUCGACUAAAGUAUAUCGAUUAUUGAUUCUUUGUGUUACACAUCUAAAGUGACACCAAGUACCAUCCUCGUUAUUGAUUUCUUUUUAAUGCAAUAGAAGGAUACCUUCGGCUGAAACCAAAAUACGACCGGUAGAAAAACGAAAGCCGCUAUGAUCCACGUGACGAGACUACCUGCUAGAACUCGGGGCCUCGUUAAGGCACUUCUGUAGGGAGCUAUCGCUAAACAUCGAUGUCUGUCCAUUGAUAUAAACGUUAAUGUCCAUAGAAGCACGAAGCCGCAGACGAACUAUAAGAAUUAAGAGCAACCAGAUACAUGGGAAGGAUGUUACGGAGGCCGUGUUUACUCGUACGGAUAAUUAAAAACAAAAUCAUCGAUAAAACAACAACGAUCACAAGGGUUUAAUAAAAGCACCUGGCAAAUUGAAUUGUGGACAAAAAUACGGCAGAAGUGAUAAUCGAUAUUUUUUUUUUUAUGUCGAGGGAUAUUUAUAAAGCUGGUGGAACAUCGAUAUCGUUCGAACCAAAAAAGAGGAGAUCGAGGUUGACUUUCGCGUCAACGAAGGAACUGAAAUAUCCUAAUGACCAGAGGGAGCGGCUUUACCCUACAAAGACUGAAAUUCUCGUCCAUUUCAUGCAAUUACCGCGCCGUAAGUUCUCGUCGUAUUUUCGAAGAACUGUUUUCUUCUUCUUCUUUUUUUUUUUUUAAGCAUCAAAGUAAACACAAUAUUUUUAACAGUAUCGUCAAUCACGCUUUUACAUUUCAAUGCUUUAAAGUGUAAGAAUGGAUAACGAUCUCGGAGACGGUUAGUCGACAUCGAUAAAUUACCAAUAACAGUUCAGUUGUCCCGCUGAAUUUAGUUCUCGGGUUAAUAAAUGAUUUUAUUACGGUUUAUUCGUGCGGUGUUAUCGCCAUCCCGACCCAGAUCCUUCGAAUCAAAAAUAGUCGAAUUUUAAUUGUUUCCCUUAGGCGACGCAAUGUUUAUAUAAUUGUAACAAAUAGUAUAAAUUAUUUACGCGAAACAUAUAAAUUUUCCAAACGUAUAGAAAAUGUAAAAAAGUGUAUAAAAUGUACGUACCUUUGAAACGGUGCGUAAAUCCAAUGUUCAAAAGCAAGGCAAUUGUAAAUUUAAAUCUAAGGAGAUUUAGAUUUUAAAUUCCAUUAGGGGUUUUCUAACGGUUUUAAAUACA
Molecule: long non-coding RNA, 1325 nt
Organism: Hylaeus anthracinus
Lineage: Eukaryota; Metazoa; Arthropoda; Insecta; Hymenoptera; Colletidae
Exons: 2
Source: RefSeq, a predicted model, not a curated record